AAGCUUAUUUCAUUGCGAAGAAAUUCAAAAGCACAGAAAUUUCCAAUUAAUAGAUACUAAUGAAGUAAGUACAAAAAACAUAUACAGACAGCUACCGUCUCGUAUUAUGAAGGUUAGUCCUUGGUCUUUCUGCGGUUUAUACUCCCCUGUAUUUUUUACAACACUGUGUGCGGGGCCGUCAGAAUUUUCAAAGAACUUGUGAGACAGCUUUACUAUUUCUGCAUCAUUUUAAAAUCGUUUAUGAAUCACUAUGUCCCUAAAGAACCAGUGUGCGUUUGUAAUGAUACGGAGAAUUUUGUUUUGGAAUCUCUGUAGUAGAAAAUGGUUUGAUCGUGUAGUAGCUGCCCAUGCAGGAGCGAGGGCUCGAUUACAGAGAAAGAGCCUGAGAAACGGCUACCAUCCAAGGAAGGCAGCAGGCUCCCAAAUUUCCCACUCCCAAAACGGGGAAAAGUGACGAAAAAUCACAAUAUGGAACUCUUUUGAGAUCCCGUAAAUGGAAUAAGUACACUCUAAAUCCUUUAAACAGGAUCAGUUGGAAGGCAAGACUGGUGCCAGCAGCCCCGGUAAUUCCAGCUCCAAUAGCGU
RNAcentral lists this non-coding RNA (585 nucleotides) under Stegodyphus mimosarum. Its description in RNAcentral is "Eukaryotic small subunit ribosomal RNA". It matches the Rfam family "Eukaryotic small subunit ribosomal RNA", at positions 67 to 600 of the family's 1831-position model. Lineage: Eukaryota; Metazoa; Arthropoda; Arachnida; Araneae; Eresidae. The record is from Rfam by way of RNAcentral.